This 440-nucleotide ribosomal RNA is filed under the name Salmonella enterica subsp. enterica serovar Enteritidis. RNAcentral describes it as "bacterial SSU rRNA". It matches the Rfam family "Bacterial small subunit ribosomal RNA", at positions 1 to 435 of the family's 1533-position model. The record is from RNAcentral. Lineage: Bacteria; Pseudomonadati; Pseudomonadota; Gammaproteobacteria; Enterobacterales; Enterobacteriaceae.
UUAAAUUGAAGAGUUUGAUCAUGGCUCAGAUUGAACGCUGGCGGCAGGCCUAACACAUGCAAGUCGAACGGUAACAGGAAGCAGCUUGCUGCUUCGCUGACGAGUGGCGGACGGGUGAGUAAUGUCUGGGAAACUGCCUGAUGGAGGGGGAUAACUACUGGAAACGGUGGCUAAUACCGCAUAACGUCGCAAGACCAAAGAGGGGGACCUUUGGGCCUCUUGCCAUCAGAUGUGCCCAGAUGGGAUUAGCUUGUUGGUGAGGUAACGGCUCACCAAGGCGACGAUCCCUAGCUGGUCUGAGAGGAUGACCAGCCACACUGGAACUGAGACACGGUCCAGACUCCUACGGGAGGCAGCAGUGGGGAAUAUUGCACAAUGGGCGCAAGCCUGAUGCAGCCAUGCCGCGUGUAUGAAGAAGGCCUUCGGGUUGUAAAGUACUU